RNAcentral lists this ribosomal RNA (780 nucleotides) under Psychrobacter celer. Its description in RNAcentral is "bacterial SSU rRNA". It matches the Rfam family "Bacterial small subunit ribosomal RNA", at positions 672 to 1450 of the family's 1533-position model. The record is from RNAcentral. Lineage: Bacteria; Pseudomonadati; Pseudomonadota; Gammaproteobacteria; Moraxellales; Moraxellaceae.
GGUGUAGCGGUGAAAUGCGUAGAGAUCUGGAGGAAUACCGAUGGCGAAGGCAGCUUCCUGGCAUCAUACUGACACUGAGGCUCGAAAGCGUGGGUAGCAAACAGGAUUAGAUACCCUGGUAGUCCACGCCGUAAACGAUGUCUACUAGUCGUUGGGUCCCUUGAGGACUUAGUGACGCAGCUAACGCAAUAAGUAGACCGCCUGGGGAGUACGGCCGCAAGGUUAAAACUCAAAUGAAUUGACGGGGGCCCGCACAAGCGGUGGAGCAUGUGGUUUAAUUCGAUGCAACGCGAAGAACCUUACCUGGUCUUGACAUACACAGAAUCUUGUAGAGAUACGAGAGUGCCUUCGGGAAUUGUGAUACAGGUGCUGCAUGGCUGUCGUCAGCUCGUGUCGUGAGAUGUUGGGUUAAGUCCCGCAACGAGCGCAACCCUUGUCCUUAGUUACCAGCGGGUUAAGCCGGGAACUCUAAGGAUACUGCCAGUGACAAACUGGAGGAAGGCGGGGACGACGUCAAGUCAUCAUGGCCCUUACGACCAGGGCUACACACGUGCUACAAUGGUAGGUACAGAGGGCAGCUACACAGCGAUGUGAUGCGAAUCUCAAAAAGCCUAUCGUAGUCCAGAUUGGAGUCUGCAACUCGACUCCAUGAAGUAGGAAUCGCUAGUAAUCGCGGAUCAGAAUGCCGCGGUGAAUACGUUCCCGGGCCUUGUACACACCGCCCGUCACACCAUGGGAGUUGAUUGCACCAGAAGUGGUUAGCCGAACCUUUUAGGACGG